This 374-nucleotide long non-coding RNA is filed under the name Lynx canadensis (Canada lynx). Its description in RNAcentral is "lncRNA (ENSLCNG00005012049.1)". Lineage: Eukaryota; Metazoa; Chordata; Mammalia; Carnivora; Felidae. The record is from RNAcentral.
CCGGAAGUGGGUACGACCGGCCCGCAGCUUUCUGGGACUUGUAGUUGGGGGCCCUUAGGCGCGGACGCGGGUCAGUCUCGGGAAUACUGCGCUUGCAGGUGUAGGAUUCCACGUGGGAGGACGGUGACCUUCCAGAGAGGAGGAAAUGACCUAGUGCCGGGUAGCAGAAGGGUGAGGAUUCCCUGCAUCGCCGAGCGCGCUGCGGCCUCAGAACAGGAGGGCCAACGCCAUCGCGGCCUUUUUGAAAACCAUCAGGCUCCGGUAAGCGUACAAAGAUCUGGUCCGGAUCCGCCUGCCCGGCCACUCCCGCGGGCACGGAUCCGAGGCCCACGCCCCGCCCUUCCGCAGCCGCCGCUCCCCAACUGCGCUCCAGC